Molecule: ribosomal RNA, 715 nt
Filed under: Alcanivorax sp.
Lineage: Bacteria; Pseudomonadati; Pseudomonadota; Gammaproteobacteria; Oceanospirillales; Alcanivoracaceae
Description: bacterial SSU rRNA
Rfam family: Bacterial small subunit ribosomal RNA
Source: RNAcentral
CAGAUUGAACGCUGGCGGCAGGCCUAACACAUGCAAKUCGAGCGGAAACGAUGGDAGYUUGCUSCCAGGCGUCGAGCGGCGGACGGGUGAGUAACGCGUGAGAAUCUGCCCAUUUGUGGGGGAUAACUCGGGGAAACUCGAGCUAAUACCGCAUAAUCCCUACGGGGGAAAGCAGGGGACCUUCGGGCCUUGUGCAGAUGGAUGAGCUCGCGUCGGAUUAGCUUGUUGGUGAGGUAAAGGCUCACCAAGGCGACGAUCCGUAGCUGGUCUGAGAGGAUGAUCAGCCACACCGGGACUGAGACACGGCCCGGACUCCUACGGGAGGCAGCAGUGGGGAAUCUUGGACAAUGGGGGCAACCCUGAUCCAGCCAUGCCGCGUGUGUGAAGAAGGCCUUCGGGUUGUAAAGCACUUUCAGUAGGGAGGAAGGCUUACCGCUAAUAACGGUGAGUACUUGACGUUACCUACAGAAGAAGCACCGGCUAAUUUCGUGCCAGCAGCCGCGGUAAUACGAAAGGUGCGAGCGUUAAUCGGAAUUACUGGGCGUAAAGCGCGCGUAGGCGGUUUGUUAAGUCAGAUGUGAAAGCCCCGGGCUCAACCUGGGAAUUGCAUUUGAAACUGGCAGGCUAGAGUGCAGUAGAGGGAGGUGGAAUUUCCGGUGUAGCGGUGAAAUGCGUAGAGAUCGGAAGGAACACCAGUGGCGAAGGCGCCUCCUGG